Molecule: ribosomal RNA, 735 nt
Filed under: Venturia pyrina
Lineage: Eukaryota; Fungi; Ascomycota; Dothideomycetes; Venturiales; Venturiaceae
Description: eukaryotic LSU rRNA
Rfam family: Eukaryotic large subunit ribosomal RNA
Source: RNAcentral
UAACGGCGAGUGAAGCGGCAACAGCUCAAAUUUGAAAUCUGGCGCAAGCCCGAGUUGUAAUUUGCAGAGGAUGUUUCGGGUGAAGCCACGGUCCAAGUCCCUUGGAACAGGACGUCAUAGAGGGUGAGAACCCCGUACCUGGCCGUCGGUGCCCCCCGCUGUGAAACUCCUUCGACGAGUCGAGUUGUUUGGGAAUGCAGCUCUAAAUUGGUGGUAAAUUCCAUCUAAAGCUAAAUACCGGCCAGAGACCGAUAGCGCACAAGUAGAGUGAUCGAAAGAUGAAAAGCACUUUGAAAAGAGAGUUAAAAAGUACGUGAAAUUGUUGAAAGGGAAGCGCUUGCGGCCAGACUUGCCCGCGGUUGCUCAGCCCGCCUUUUGGCGGGUGCACUCUUCCGCGGUCAGGCCAGCAUCGGUUUGGGCGGCCGGAUAAAGGCGCCGGGAACGUGGCCUCCCCUCGGGGAGGUGUUAUAGCCCGGCGUGCAAUGCGGCCAGCCCGGACCGAGGUUCGCGCUCUGCUAGGAUGCUGGCGUAAUGGCCGUAAGCGGCCCGUCUUGAAACACGGACCAAGGAGUCUAACAUCUAUGCGAGUGUUUGGGUGUCAAACCCGUGCGCGUAAUGAAAGUGAACGGAGGUGGGAACCGCAAGGUGCACCAUCGACCGAUCCUGAUGUCUUCGGAAGGAUUUGAGUAAGAGCAUAGCUGUUGGGACCCGAAAGAUGGUGAACUAUGCGUGAAU